Molecule: long non-coding RNA, 764 nt
Filed under: Drosophila guanche
Lineage: Eukaryota; Metazoa; Arthropoda; Insecta; Diptera; Drosophilidae
Source: RNAcentral
GUUAAUGAUAUCGUGUGCCCCACAUUUCGUGCAGCAUGUCAAGAGCUAAAUUUGCUUGAAAACGAUACUCAUUGGGCACGACAAUCGCUGAAGCAAUUAUUUCUGCAUCACCAAGUCAGAUACGCACAUUAUUUGCUUUCAUCAUUUCAACAUGCUUCCCAUCGAACCCACUUGACCUGUGCAACAAAUACAAAGAUAACAUGUCCGAAGAUAUUUUACAUCGAAUUCGCGUCAGCUCAAGAAAUUACGAUCUUGAGGUGAAUGAGGAGAUCCAUAACCAGACUUUGAUCUUGAUCGAAGAUAUGUGUUACCUCAUGUGCGGCAGUUUGUUAGUUAGGUUAGGAAUGCCAGCGCCAGAUCGCGGAAUGAAUGACGCAUUUAAUAGAGAAUUGGAACGUGAACAUGAAUAUGAUCCACAUGAACUAAUCCAAUCAAUUCAAACGAAUGUACCUCUGUUGAAUCCUAGGCAGAGGGAAGUCUAUGAUACACUGAUUAACGCAAUUGAUAAUGGAAAUGGCGGCUUAUUUUUUUUGGAUGCCCCCGGUGGAACUGGGAAGCCAUUCCUCAUGUCAUUGAUUUGGCCACUGUACGUGCGAGAUCCGAAAUUGCGGUAGCAAUUGCUUCUUCUGGAAUAGCGGCCACAUUGUUAGACGGAUGCCGUACGGCUCACUCAGCGUUAAAAUUGCCAUUAAACCUUCAAACUACUGAACAACCGACAUGUAACAUUUCGAAAAACUCCGCAAUGGCCAAAGUUUUAGUAGCAU